UUUUUUUCUUAAGAAAAUUAGCUUUGUGGAUUUUUUUAGAGUUCUUCAAGUUCUUUAAAUUAGGGAUCUUUUAAAGUCUUGUUGAACUGGGGAAUCAAUCGACUAAUCAAGUGAUUUUGGGAGCAUUUGAAAAGUUUUGGAUGAAGACACAAAAAAGGCAGAAACCUACAUUGGCAGAUGCAUGCUCAUGCAAGUGGUGAUGCACAUCAGUCUUAGAGUCUCCAUCUGCAUAGAAUUUUGUAGACAGAAAUCUGCAUGGGCAGGUGCAUGGUCAUGCAGAUGGUCAUGCGAGAAAGG
Molecule: non-coding RNA, 297 nt
Organism: Carica papaya (papaya)
Lineage: Eukaryota; Viridiplantae; Streptophyta; Magnoliopsida; Brassicales; Caricaceae
Source: RefSeq, a predicted model, not a curated record